Rhagoletis zephyria (snowberry fruit fly) is the source of this 151-nucleotide long non-coding RNA. RefSeq lists it as uncharacterized. The record is from RefSeq and is a predicted model, not a curated record. Lineage: Eukaryota; Metazoa; Arthropoda; Insecta; Diptera; Tephritidae.
AAUUUCGUUUUUUUUUAGUUUUUCUCGAAAUAUGUAUGUAUGUAUGUAAGAUAUAUAAAGGUGUGCAUAUCAAAUCAAUUGCCUUUCCAACCAUAUCCACAUUUUGAAAUUCGGUACAAUAGUUUUCGAAAUAUAAGAUUUUGAAAAUAUU